Molecule: ribosomal RNA, 395 nt
Filed under: uncultured bacterium
Lineage: Bacteria
Description: bacterial SSU rRNA
Rfam family: Bacterial small subunit ribosomal RNA
Source: RNAcentral
GUGUCAGCAGCCGCGGUAAAACGUAGGGGGCGAGCGUUGUCCGGAAUUACUGGGCGUAAAGCGCGUGUAGGCGGGCUUAUAAGUCGGGUGUGAAAACUCUGGGCUCAACCCAGAGACUGCAUCCGAAACUGUAGGUCUUGAGGGCGGGAGAGGAAAGUGGAAUUCCUAGUGUAGCGGUGAAAUGCGUAGAUAUUAGGAGGAACACCAGUGGCGAAGGCGGCUUUCUGGCCCGAACCUGACGCUGAGACGCGAAAGCGUGGGGAGCAAACAGGAUUAGAUACCCUGGUAGUCCACGCCGUAAACGAUGGGCACUAGGUGUAGGAGGUAUCGACCCCUUCUGUGCCGCAGCUAACGCAUUAAGUGCCCCGCCUGGGGAGUACGGCCGCAAGGUUGAA